UGAAGCUUUGGCUACUUUUCUUAUGUGCCUUCAUUGUGCAUCUUUGACUUUCCAAUGUGCUUCUUAUGAUGAGUGUAAUUUGUUAUUGUCUAUUAAGUAAGUGUUUAGUGGCAGUGUCUUGCUCUGCAGUUUUGUAUUUCCACUUUUAGGAAGCAGUUCUGUUUUAUUUGUAGAUUAUUUGGUCUGUUGUGCUUUUGAUUUCUUCUGUAAAACUAUUGCCGAGUUUGUGUUUUAUCAAAUGCAUUUGGGCAGUCAAACAUGGCAGUCAAAGAUGUCGGACUUAAAUUGUCUGCAUGAUAACCUGAUUCGUGAUGACAACAAGCUUAUAUUGCUGGCUUCCCUCAGUGAUUCAUUAGAGUAUGUUGCAGAGUCUAUUGAAAGGCAAGUUAUCUCAUCUGAUUGCGGUCUUGAAUUAAUUCUGAAUUGAUUAUGGGUUAGCAAGAAACUUGUUAGUUUAAAGAAGUAUCAAGAUCUUAUUUCUAGGGCCUAUGGUUUGAUUAUGUGGCAAUCACUUGUCGUAUAUAAGACAUAUGGAUUCUAGUUGUGCAAAUGAUAUUACUGUCCCACAGUUUGGUUUUGAAAGAUCACCUGUCUUCCAAACUGGGGUUUGCAUUACGAGAUGUAGAUGCAAGUCCUUUUCUUUUGUCUUUUUCUGCAGCUUCUUGCAUGUAGCUACUCAUGUGUAGCGUGGCUUUUGAUGUGGGAAUAUUGUAUGCAGCUUCUUGAAAUAAGUUGAUGUUUUUCUUUGUGGUUGUAGAUUAUUCAAUUGCAGAGAAGUUAAUUUAUUCUCUCA
Molecule: long non-coding RNA, 793 nt
Organism: Rosa rugosa (rugosa rose)
Lineage: Eukaryota; Viridiplantae; Streptophyta; Magnoliopsida; Rosales; Rosaceae
Exons: 2
Source: RefSeq, a predicted model, not a curated record